GACGAACGCUGGCGGCGUGCUUAACACAUGCAAGUCGAACGAAGUGGCGAACGGGUGAGUAACGCGUAAUCAACCUGCCCUUCAGAGGGGGACAACAGUUGGAAACGACUGCUAAUACCGCAUACUGAAGGAGGGGAUUGCGUCUGAUUAGCUAGUUGGAGGGGGAACGGCCCACCAAGGCGAUGAUCAGUAGCCGGUCUGGGAGGGUGAACGGCCAAAUUGGGACCGGGAAACGGCCCAAACUCCUACGGGGGGGAGCAGGGGGGAAUCAUCCGCAAUGGGCGAAAGUCUGACGGAGCAACGCCGCGUGAGUGAUGACGGCCUUCGGGUUGUAAAGCUCUGUUAAGCGGGACGCGGUACCAGAAUAGAAAGCCACGGCUAACUACGUGCCAGCAGCCGCGGUAAUAC
RNAcentral lists this ribosomal RNA (408 nucleotides) under uncultured bacterium. Its description in RNAcentral is "partial 16S ribosomal RNA". It matches the Rfam family "Bacterial small subunit ribosomal RNA", at positions 28 to 526 of the family's 1533-position model. The record is from RNAcentral.